AUGUUCACUUUGGUAGCAUACCCACUGAAACUGGAAUAAUACAGACAGUACAAUAUUAGCAUAACUCCUGCCAGAGGAUGACAGACAAAUUUGUGAAGACUUUAACAUUUUA
This is a small nuclear RNA of Nycticebus coucang (slow loris), 112 nucleotides long. The record is from RefSeq and is a predicted model, not a curated record. Lineage: Eukaryota; Metazoa; Chordata; Mammalia; Primates; Lorisidae.